This 112-nucleotide small RNA is filed under the name Escherichia coli. Its description in RNAcentral is "partial RtT sRNA". It matches the Rfam family "RtT RNA", at positions 24 to 130 of the family's 130-position model. From Rfam's summary of the family: This family represents a bacterial cis-regulatory element known as RtT RNA. Lineage: Bacteria; Pseudomonadati; Pseudomonadota; Gammaproteobacteria; Enterobacterales; Enterobacteriaceae. The record is from RNAcentral.
GAGAACCUCCGGGGGCGGGGAGGUUCGACUCGAGCGAAGCGAGAGAACGUUGCGCCAGCAACGGCCCGCAGGGCGAGCCACGAAGUGGCGAGUAAUCCUCUAUCACCGACCA